GACGAACGCUGGCGGCGUGCUUAACACAUGCAAGUCGAACGGAAAGGCCCUGCUUUUGUGGGGUGCUCGAGUGGCGAACGGGUGAGUAACACGUGAGUAACCUGCCCUUGACUUUGGGAUAACUUCAGGAAACUGGGGCUAAUACCGGAUAGGAGCUCCUGCUGCAUGGUGGGGGUUGGAAAGUUUCGGCGGUUGGGGAUGGACUCGCGGCGUAUCAGCUUGUUGGUGGGGUAGUGGCUUACCAAGGCUUUGACGGGUAGCCGGCCUGAGAGGGUGACCGGCCACAUUGGGCCUGAGAUACGGCCCAGACUCCUACGGGAGGCAGGAGUGGGGAAUAUUGCACAAGGGGAGGAAGCCUGAUGCAGCAACGCCGCGUGCGGGAUGACGGCCUUCGGGUUGUAAACCGCUUUCGCCUGUGACGAAGCGUGAGUGACGGUAAUGGGUAAAGAAGCACCGGCUAACUACGUG
RNAcentral lists this ribosomal RNA (468 nucleotides) under uncultured bacterium. RNAcentral describes it as "partial 16S ribosomal RNA". It matches the Rfam family "Bacterial small subunit ribosomal RNA", at positions 28 to 507 of the family's 1533-position model. The record is from RNAcentral.